This is a long non-coding RNA of Hyaena hyaena (striped hyena), 1132 nucleotides long. RefSeq lists it as uncharacterized. The transcript is spliced from 5 exons. The record is from RefSeq and is a predicted model, not a curated record. Lineage: Eukaryota; Metazoa; Chordata; Mammalia; Carnivora; Hyaenidae.
CAGUUGUAGAAGCAACACUUCUUCGUCCCGGGGCAACGCCGAUCGAGCUUGCACAGAGAGCCCAUUGAACAUUUUCAGCAACAUGCUUGAAAUCUAAUUGGAAUUUCCCGUUGCAAUUAAUGUUGUCAUAACAAGAGCCCUAUUUCAAGUAGAAGCCUCCCACUUGACUUCAGCUGAGCACACAGAGCCUGGAGUCAUGACCUCGCGUUUUAUCUCAGCAAAAAAACCCUCCUCAGCUGGAGACUGCUAUGCCUUUGGGAGAAGCGUGGUAGCAGGGGCAGAAAAGUGAUCACGUUUAUUAAAAGUGACCUUGUGAAAUAAAUGACUGCCGAGGGAGAAACUGGAGCUGACACAGAGGGGGGAGCGCAAGUUCCUUUGCAAAGUGCCACCAGCGGAAGUAGCAGAGAGAAGCAGGACUGGGCACACCAAGGGGGCCAUCGCUAUGCUGACCUGACGGCGUCUCUGCCGGCCCAACCGGGAGCCCUGGAGCAGGCAUUUUCCAUGAGGAGUCCUCCCUCGGGCCGCAAGUACCAUAGCCUUACCCUGUCCCUGGCUGGGGGUCUCCAGUUCGAGCACCAAGGUGGUGCCUGAGAAGCACUCAGCUAUGCAUGUGCAGCUGGGUGAGGAGGGGCUCCUUGAAGGGGGUCUGAGCCGCACGGGUCCCCGUCAGGCCCAGUGCCCGCCUGGCGCCGCAGGGUGCGUGUCGCACCGAGGGAGCCCACGGAGGAUGGGGUAAGUGGGGCAAACUUGAGCACCAGCCGGUGUCAGGCCGCCGCUGCUCUUCCACGUCCCUCCGUUCCACAGCCUCCUUGUCCUUGGCUGCCAUCAGAGUCACGCUCAGUGGCUUACCUGGUGGUGUGACCGAAACCCUUGCCCUGAGGGUCGCCACCUUUCUCCCGUCAGGCCGGCUGCACUUGUCCAUUCGCGGCCGCACGAGGAAGAUGCCACCGAGAAACUCUGUGACUUUGGUGUGGGCAUCUUCCCUGCUGUCCCCUGACUCCGCUGGGCUUGUCUUUGCUGAGAUUCGGUGCAGACUUAGGAAAAACCUUUUCAGAUUGGUUUCACAGAUCAGCUCCUUAAGAGUCUACGCUCAGGGGCGCCUGGGUGGCUUAGUCGGUUAAGCGUCCGACUA